AUUGAACGCUGGCGGCAUGCCUUACACAUGCAAGUCGAACGGUAACAGGUCUUCGGAUGCUGACGAGUGGCGAACGGGUGAGUAAUACAUCGGAACGUGCCCGAUCGUGGGGGAUAAUGAAGCGAAAGCUUUGCUAAUACCGCAUACGAACUACGGAUGAAAGCAGGGGACCGCAAGGCCUUGCGCGAACGGAGCGGCCGAUGGCAGAUUAGGUAGUUGGUGGGAUAAAAGCUUACCAAGCCGACGAUCUGUAGCUGGUCGGAGAGGACGACCAGCCACACUGGGACUGAGACACGGCCCAGACUCCUACGGGAGGCAGCAGUGGGGAAGUUUGGACAAUGGGCGAAAGCCUGAUCCAGCCAUGCCGCGUGCAGGAUGAAGGCCUUCGGGUUGUAAACUGCUUUUGUACGGAACGAAAAGACUCUGGUUAAUACCUGGGGUCCAUGACGGUACCGUAAGAAUAAGCACCGGCUAACUACGUGCCAGCCGCCGCAGUAA
This 498-nucleotide ribosomal RNA is filed under the name uncultured bacterium. Its description in RNAcentral is "partial 16S ribosomal RNA". It matches the Rfam family "Bacterial small subunit ribosomal RNA", at positions 30 to 523 of the family's 1533-position model. The record is from RNAcentral.